GAUUCCUUAACUUAACGGUAGAGUGUAUUUUUGAUAAGAAUAAAAUCAGUGUUCGAUUCACUGAGGAAUUA
Molecule: transfer RNA, 71 nt
Filed under: Emericellopsis fuci
Lineage: Eukaryota; Fungi; Ascomycota; Sordariomycetes; Hypocreales; Bionectriaceae
Also listed under: 2 other names
Description: Acremonium fuci tRNA-Ile
Rfam family: tRNA
About the family: Transfer RNA (tRNA) molecules are approximately 80 nucleotides in length. Their secondary structure includes four short double-helical elements and three loops (D, anti-codon, and T loops).
Source: RNAcentral